Molecule: microRNA precursor, 93 nt
Filed under: Marmota monax (woodchuck)
Lineage: Eukaryota; Metazoa; Chordata; Mammalia; Rodentia; Sciuridae
Source: RNAcentral
GUCUAAACCAUCUGAAGAACGUGUUAAAAUGCAGAUGAUCUGGCAUCAGGCCUGAGAUUCUGCAUUUUUAACGAGUUUCCAGGUGAUGUGUCA